Molecule: ribosomal RNA, 461 nt
Filed under: uncultured Actinomyces sp.
Lineage: Bacteria; Bacillati; Actinomycetota; Actinomycetes; Actinomycetales; Actinomycetaceae
Description: bacterial SSU rRNA
Rfam family: Bacterial small subunit ribosomal RNA
Source: RNAcentral
CCUACGGGCGGCAGCAGUGGGGGGUAUUGCACAAUGGGCGGAAGCCUGAUGCAGCGACGUCGCGUGAGGGAUGGAGGCCUUCGGGUUGUGAACCUCUUUCUCCGGUGGUGAAGGCCCUGUCCGUUGCGGCGGGGUUGACGGUAGCCGGGUAUGAAGCGCCGGCUAACUACGCGCCAGCAGCCGCGGUAAUACGUAGGGCGCGAGCGUUGUCCGGAAUUAUUGGGCGGGAAGGGCUUGUAGGCGGCCGGUCGCGCCCGCCGUGAAAUUCUCCGGCUCAACCGGGGGCUUGCGGUGGGUACGGGCCGGCUGGUGUGCGGUAGGGGAGGCUGGAACUCCUGGUGUAGCGGUGGAAUGCGCAGAUAUCAGGAGGAACACCGGUGGCGAAGGCGGGUCUCUGGGCCGUUACUGACGCUGAGGAGCGAAAGCGUGGGGAGCGAACAGGAUUAGAUACCCGUGUAGUC